GAUCUCUUUGAGGCCCGUUAUCGGAAUGAGAACAAUUUAAAUCCUUUAACGAGGAUCUAGCGGAGGGCAAGUCUGGUGCCAGCAGCCGCGGUAAUUCCAGCUCCGCAGGUGUAUAUCUAUGCUGCUGCGGUUAAAAAGCUCGUAGUUGGAUCUGCGUGCUCGGAACCGGUUGGCUCACUGAGUUCAAACUGGUCUCCGGCGCUUUAUUGGCUGGUUUUCCCUUGAUGCUCUUAACCGGGUGUCUUGGGUGGCUAGCACGUUUACUUUGAAAAAAUUAGAGUGCUCAAUACAGGCGCAAAGCCUUGAAUAGUGGUGCAUGGAAUAAUAGAAUAGGACCUCGGCUCUAUUUUGUUGGUUUUCGGAACGCGAGGUAAUGAUUAAGAGGGACAGACGGGGGCAUUCGUAUUGCGACGUUAGAGGUGAAAUUCUUGGAUUGUCGCAAGACGGACGACUGCGAAAGCAUUUGCCAAGAAUGUUUUCAUUAAUCAAGAACGAAAGUUAGAGGUUCGAAGGCGAUCAGAUACCGCCCUAGUUCUAACCGUAAACGAUGCCAACUAGCGAUCCGCAGGCGUUAAACAACGACCUUGCGGGCAGCUUCCCGGAAACGAAAGUGUUCGGGUUCCGGGGGAAGUAUGGUUGCAAAGCUGAAACUUAAAGGAAUUGACGGAAGGGCACCACCAGGAGUGGAGCCUGCGGCUUAAUUUGACCCAACACGGGAAAACUCACCCGGCCCGGACACCGUAAGGAUUGACAGAUUGAGAGCUCUUUCUUGAUUCGGUGGGUGGUGGUGCAUGGCCGUUCUUAGUUGGUGGAGCGAUUUGUCUGGUUUAUUCCGAUAACGAACGAGACUCUGGCCUACUAAAUAGUGGGCGGAUUCUUUCUGUCCGCAACACUUCUUAGAGGGACAAGCGGUGUUCAGCCGCACGAGAUUGAGCAAUAACAGGUCUGUGAUGCCCUUAGAUGUCCGGGGCUGCACGCGCGCUACACUGAAGGAAUCAGCGUGCUUUCUGACCUUGCCCGAAAGGGCUGGGUAACCCGAUGAAAAUCCUUCGUGAUUGGGAUAGGGACUUGCAAUUAUUUCCCUUGAACGAGGAAUUCCCAGUAAGUGUGGGUCAUAAGCUCGCGUUGAUUACGUCCCUGCCCUUUGUACACACCGCCCGUCGCUGCCCGGGACUGAGCCGUUUCGAGAAGAACAGGGACCGUCGUUGAAGGGCCCUAACGGGCUUUUCUCUGAUAGAAACUGUUUU
RNAcentral lists this ribosomal RNA (1247 nucleotides) under metagenome. Its description in RNAcentral is "SSU rRNA". It matches the Rfam family "Eukaryotic small subunit ribosomal RNA", at positions 488 to 1760 of the family's 1831-position model. The record is from RNAcentral.